UGGGGAAUAUUGCACAAUGGGCGCAAGCCUGAUGCAGCCAUGCCGCGUGUAUGAAGAAGGCCUUCGGGUUGUAAAGUACUUUCAGCGGGGAGGAAGGUGUUGAGGUUAAUAACCUCAGCAAUUGACGUUACCCGCAGAAGAAGCACCGGCUAACUCCGUGCCAGCAGCCGCGGUGAUACGGAGGGUGCAAGAGUUAAUCGGAAUUACUGGGCGUAAAGCGCACGCAGGCGGUCUGUCAAGUCGGAUGUGAAAUCCCCGGGCUCAACCUGGGAACUGCAUUCGAAACUGGCAGGCUAGAGUCUUGUAGAGGGGGGUAGAAUUCCAGGUGUAGCGGUGAAAUGCGUAGAGAUCUGGAGGAAUACCGGUGGCGAAGGCGGCCCCCUGGACAAAGACUGACGCUCAGGUGCGAAAGCGUGGGGAGCAAACA
RNAcentral lists this ribosomal RNA (427 nucleotides) under uncultured bacterium. RNAcentral's name for it is "partial 16S ribosomal RNA". It matches the Rfam family "Bacterial small subunit ribosomal RNA", at positions 355 to 774 of the family's 1533-position model. The record is from RNAcentral.